UGCAAGUCGAACGGCAGCGCGGGGCAACCUGGCGGCGAGUGGCGAACGGGUGAGUAAUAUAUCGGAACGUACCCUGGAGUGGGGGAUAACGUAGCGAAAGUUACGCUAAUACCGCAUACGAUCUAAGGAUGAAAGUGGGGGAUUCGCAAGGACCUCAUGCUCGUGGAGCGGCCGAUAUCUGAUUAGCUAGUUGGUAGGGUAAAAGCCUACCAAGGCAUCGAUCAGUAGCUGGUCUGAGAGGACGACCAGCCACACUGGAACUGAGACACGGUCCAGACUCCUACGGGAGGCAGCAGUGGGGAAUUUUGGACAAUGGGCGAAAGCCUGAUCCAGCAAUGCCGCGUGAGUGAAGAAGGCCUUCGGGUUGUAAAGCUCUUUUGUCAGGGAAGAAACGGUUUUUUCUAAUACAGAAGACUAAUGACGGUACCUGAAGAAUAAGCACCGGCUAACUACGUGCCAGCAGCCGCGGUAAUACGUAGGGUGCAAGCGUUAAUCGGAAUUACUGGGCGUAAAGCGUGCGCAGGCGGUUAUGUAAGACAGAUGUGAAAUGCCCGGGCUUAACCUGGGAACUGCAUUUGUGACUGCAUGGCUAGAAUCUGGCAGAGGGGGGUAGAAUUCCACGUGUAGCAGUGAAAUGCGUAGAUAUGUGGAGGAACACCGAUGGCGAAGGCAGCCCCCUGGGCUAAGAUUGACGCUCAUGCACGAAAGCGUGGGGAGCAAACAGGAUUAGAUACCCUGGUAGUCCACGCCCUAAACGAUGUCUACUAGUUGUCGGGUCUUAAUUGACUUGGUAACGCAGCUAACGCGUGAAGUAGACCGCCUGGGGAGUACGGUCGCAAGAUUAAAACUCAAAGGAACUGACGGGGACCCGCACAAGCGGUGGAUGAUGUGGAUUAAUUCGAUGCAACGCGAAAAACCUUACCUACCCUUGACAUGGAAGGAAUCC
RNAcentral lists this ribosomal RNA (946 nucleotides) under uncultured Janthinobacterium sp. RNAcentral's name for it is "bacterial SSU rRNA". It matches the Rfam family "Bacterial small subunit ribosomal RNA", at positions 56 to 998 of the family's 1533-position model. Lineage: Bacteria; Pseudomonadati; Pseudomonadota; Betaproteobacteria; Burkholderiales; Oxalobacteraceae. The record is from RNAcentral.